UGAAGCUUCGGCAGAUUUAGCUGGUUUCUAGUGGCGGACGGGUGAGUAACGCGUGGGUAACCUGCCUUAUACAGGGGGAUAACAGUCAGAAAUGACUGCUAAUACCGCAUAAGCGCACAGGGCCGCAUGGUCCGGUGUGAAAAACUCCGGUGGUAUAAGAUGGACCCGCGUCGGAUUAGCUUGUUGGUGGGGUAACGGCUCACCAAGGCGACGAUCCAUAGCCGGCCUGAGAGGGUGAACGGCCACAUUGGGACUGAGACACGGCCCAGACUCCUACGGGAGGCAGCAGUGGGGAAUAUUGCACAAUGGGGGAAACCCUGAUGCAGCGACGCCGCGUGAAGGAAGAAGUAUCUCGGUAUGUAAACUUCUAUCAGCAGGGAAGAUAGUGACGGUACCUGACUAAGAAGCCCCGGCUAACUACGUGCCAGCAGCCGCGGUAAUACGUAGGGGGCAAGCGUUAUCCGGAUUUACUGGGUGUAAAGGGAGCGUAGACGGACUGGCAAGUCUGAUGUGAAAGGCGGGGGCUCAACCCCUGGACUGCAUUGGAAACUGUUAGUCUUGAGUGCCGGAGAGGUAAGCGGAAUUCCUAGUGUAGCGGUGAAAUGCGUAGAUAUUAGGAGGAACACCAGUGGCGAAGGCGGCUUACUG
RNAcentral lists this ribosomal RNA (648 nucleotides) under uncultured Lachnospiraceae bacterium. Its description in RNAcentral is "bacterial SSU rRNA". It matches the Rfam family "Bacterial small subunit ribosomal RNA", at positions 68 to 731 of the family's 1533-position model. Lineage: Bacteria; Bacillati; Bacillota; Clostridia; Lachnospirales; Lachnospiraceae. The record is from RNAcentral.